RNAcentral lists this long non-coding RNA (5812 nucleotides) under Manihot esculenta (cassava). RNAcentral's name for it is "long non-coding RNA (MESC_LNC008685)". The record is from RNAcentral. Lineage: Eukaryota; Viridiplantae; Streptophyta; Magnoliopsida; Malpighiales; Euphorbiaceae.
ACAAUUUCAAGAGCCACGAAAGAGUUUCUCGCCUAAGGAAUUCCAAUUGCAAUUAAAUUCAACAUCAAAAGAGGAAUCAAACACCAAAUCAAAAAGGGAUUUCAAAACCCUAGAUGGAUGGAAUUCUUCAGCUAUAAAAGAGCAACCUCCAAACCAGCAAGGGGCAUAUUCUGAUCAGCUACUCAGCAUCUUCUCCCCUCGCCAGAAACUCUGCAGCUUCUUUCUUUCCUUUCUUUUCAUCUUUUGUGUAUUUAGUCCACCAUGAGUGGCUAAUUUCCUUCUUUUCUAGUUGAAAUUGAGGAAAUUUAGAUUUGUGAUGAAUUGGGAGAUUUAAAACUCCAUUGUUAAACUCUUGUUUGCUUUCAAUAUUUAUGCAACUAGAUCUUUUCCAUAAUUAUUACUUUGCUUUUAGAAUCAAUAAGGGCCCGUUGCUUUUAAAUUGCUUGAGUAAUAAAUUGUUUGAAUGAUUUAGGUCGGUAAUUGCUUAUAUUGUUUGAACACAAAUUUAAUCAAGUUGCAUGAUCUAAACUUGGCCACGCGGUUGGCAAGGUUAGAAUUAGGUUUCUCUAAGUCUUAAUGCAGUUAACAGUUGUUCGAUGCCAAAGGCCCCAAUGACGUUCCUUGGCAACUUGUUAACUAGUGUUUGAUUAGCGAACGUUUCCUAAUCAAACUAGAACUAAGGAGGAAUUUGGAUUGUGAGAAGCGUCUUCCACAUCCUAAACUAAUUUAUUGAGAUAAAUAGGAGUAUUAAAGAAUCAAUGAUCAAUUCUAAACAAUCUGAAAUAGAUCCAUACUUCAACUAGAAGCUUUUCUCUUAUUGAUUUACUCAAACUUUAAAUUAUUGCUUUCUUUUGCUAUUUAAUUUUAAUCAUCAAAUCAAAACCCCCCUCUUUUAUUUACUUGCUAUUUACCUAGUCAUUAUUAGGAAAGAGGAAAGUCUUUGGUGUCAAUUCCCUAUGGUUCGACCCUAUUGCCACUAUCUACAAAUUUAUUUGUUGAUUGAUAAUAGGUUUAUUUUUUACGGCUUCGACAACCGCUUAUCAAAAAUUGGCGCCGUUGCCGGGGAAUUGAUUUAAACUAACGUAUUUUCCCUUUAUGACCAGGUCUGGCCGUAAAGACACUCUUCUUUACGAUCUGGAGAUUGAGAAAACUGCCAAGAGCUUAAGGAAGCAAGCAAAUUUGAGGAACCAAGCCUCAAAACCAUCUUCAUCAACAACUCCAUCUUACAGACCAGCUACUGCCCCUGCUGCAGAAAUUUCUGCACCAGCAGAGACCUUCAUCACCACACCUCGCACUGCUGAAAUUGAACCAGAAACUGAACUUCUGGUUAUGGCAGAAAAUCCAGCAAUGGCAGAACCACCUGCUGCACAUGUAGAAGCUGAAAUACAAGCUGGAAACAUGCCCAUCCAAGCACCUCAGCCACGGGAAAGAACUCUCGAAGAGCUAGCUGAACCAGCAGGAGACCUAGCACCCUUAUGCAUUGCAUAUCCCCCAUUGACAGCACCUUUUGAACUUAAGACAGGUCUGAUCCAUCUCCUUCCCAAAUUCAGAGGCCUAGAAAAUGAAGAUCCUCACAAGCAUUUGAAGGCAUUCCACGUUGUGUGCUCCACCUUGAAACCCCAAGGUAUUUCCGAAGAGGACAUCAAACUUAGAGCCUUCCCUUUUUCCCUUGAUGACUAUGCCAAGGAAUGGCUAUUCUACUUACCACCCGGAUCCAUCACAUCAUGGGCUGGUAUGGUGAGAGCAUUCUUGAGAAAAUUCUUUCCUACCUCAAAAGCCAUAGGCAUCCGUCGAGAGAUAAGUGGCAUAAGGCAAAAGCACUCUGAAGGCUUGUAUGAGUACUGGGAGAGGUUCAAAAAGCUGUGCACAAGCUACCCCCAGCAUGAUAUUUCUGACCAAUCUCUCAUUGAGUAUUUCUAUGGAGGUCUGCUACCCUCAGAGAGAAAAAUUAUUGAUGCAGCUUGUGGAGGAUCAAUUGAAAGAAAAUCACCUCGAGAGAUGAGGGAAUUAAUUUCCACCAUGGCUGCAGCUUCUCAGCAAUUUGGAGACCAAGAGCAGCCACCAAGAAGGGUAAAUGAGGUGAGUACAUCCAUUUUAGCAUCCCAAAUUUCUGAUCUCACCAAUGCUGUCCGUACCUUGUUGUGGGUCAAACCCAACAAGUCCAGCAGAUUCAGCAGCCCAAGCCAUGUGGAAUAUGUGCCAACAACCACCCAACUGAUCUAUGUCCUUCCCUUUAAGAGGAGGACCAGCAAGUCAAUGCUGUUGGAGGUUUCAAUGGGCAAAGAAGGUAUGAUCCAUAUGCAAAUACUUAUAAUCCAGGUUGGAGGGACCAUCCAAAUUUCAGUUAUGCAAGGGGAAAUCAAUAUCCAAGCUACCAGCAAAGGAAUCAAGCUCAAGCUGCACCUCAAAACUCCAAUGCACCUCUUGAAGAGAUUGUGAAGACUUUAGCAAAUACUGUGCAAAAUCUUGAGAAACAAAUGAGUCAAAUGGCCAUUUCAGUGAACAAACUUGAAUCACAAAGAAAGCUACCUUCCCAAACUGAGAUAAAUCCAAGACAAAAUGUUAGUGCCAUCACAUUGAAGAGUGGAAAAGAGCUGCAAGACAGUAGGGCUGAAAAAUUACAAAAACAGGCCAUGGAAAAAAAUCUGCCAGAAAGUGAUCAGGGCAGUCGAUUUGCCCAAAUCACUGACCCAAUCGCUAGGCAGACUGAGCUGCCCAGCAGUGAUCUGCCCAAAUCACCAGAGAAGGCAGAGAUCGAUCUGCCCAAAUCAACAGAUCAUGCAGAGUCCAGUCAAAGGCAAAAACAGCAACCAGCAGAAAAAUUCAAGGUACCUUACCCUUUUCCCAAAAGAUUUGCAAGAUCUCAAAAAGAAAAAGAGGAGAAAGAGAUACUUGAGACACUCCGCAAGGUGGAAAUCAAUAUACCUCUACUUGAUGCUAUCAAACAAAUACCAAGGUAUGCUAAAUUUCUCAAAGAGCUAUGCACCAAUAGGAGGAAACUUGUUGAACAUGAAAAGGUAAGUGUGGGGGAGUGUGUCUCAGCUGUCAUUCAAAGGAAGCUUCCAACCAAAUGUAAGGAUAGAGGAAUGUUUGUCAUUUCAUGCAAAAUAGGCAACAUAGGGAUAAAAAAGGCCAUGUGCGACCUUGGGGCAUCAAUCAAUGUUAUGCCACUUUCCAUCUUUAACUUAUUGAAUGCAGGUACACUCAAGGGCACCAGCAUAGUAAUCCAAUUGGCCGACCGAUCGGUUGUUUACCCCAAGGGAGUCCUAAAAGAUGUGUUGGUACAAGUUGACCAACUAGUCUUCCCAGCAGAUUUUUAUGUGAUUGACAUGGAGGAGGAUAAGGGCAACAUCACCUCUGACAUCUUACUUGGGAGACCAUUCUUGAGCAUAGCCAGAACAAAAAUUGAUGUGCAUGAUGGCACAUUAACCAUGGAGUUUGAAGGGGAAGUUAUCAAGUUUAAUAUUUAUGAUGCCAUGAAAUUCCCCAAUGAUGUUUCUCCUGUUUAUGGCCUUGAUAUAAUUGAUGAUUUAAGUCAGGAAAUUUUUGAUUUUGAUCAAGAAAACUUACUUUAUGAAGGUCUUUGCGGGAGAGAAGAAGUGGACAGCAACACAAAGACAGACCAGAUGGAGUACUGUUCACAGCUGGUUGCAGGUGAUUUGCCCAAAUCACCAAAUGAUCUGCCCAAAUCACCUAAGCAAGCAGACCCCAUCUCGCCCAAAUCACUGGAGCAGACAGACUUGACAGAGAGUGAUUUGACCAGUGAUUUGCCCAAAUCACUGGCCAAAUCAGACAGCAAACAGUAGAAAUCAGAGCAGACAGCAGAUACACCAGAUCUGAAGCCCUUGCCCAGCCACCUCAAAUAUGCAUACUUGGAGGCUGGAAAUACACUUCCAGUAAUUAUUUCUAACCAGCUCAGCCAAGAAGAAGAAGAAAAGCUCCUUGAUGUGUUAAGGAAGCACAAAAAAACAAUUGGGUGGACCUUGGAGGACAUAAAAGGCACCUCAAGACCAUUUGGUGGAGGCUCAUCUCACCAGAAUCAAUGACAGAAUGCAGCAUAUGGAGCACUUGCUGCAGCUGCUGGUGGACCAUUUUCUGCCCCACCACCAUGACAGACAGUGAUUUAGCGAGUGAUUUGCCCAAAUUACUGGCCAAAUCACCCCCAGUCCAGGAAGUCCCUUUCCCUUUCCUUCUUAAUUUUUUCAUAUAUAUGUUUACACAUUGAGGACAAUGUUUGCAGUAGGUGUGGGGGUACUGUUAGGUUAUUUUUGCAUUGUUUACAUUAUCUUUUUGCUUUCUUUUUGUUUCUUUUUGCAUUUUUUUUGCCCAUAAACACACACCAAAAUUUUUUCACACAUUUUUCACUUUUUGCACACACACACACAGAAUUUUGACUGAGCUUUUGCUCUACUCAGCAUAGAUAACAAGGUUAAAAGAGCUUCCUAUCUCAUGACCCCAUUGAUUUUCCACCACUUUAAGCCUAAAUUGAAUCAAUUAUAGUGUGCUACCUUCACUUUGGAAGUUCUUUUCUUGAAUUGAAUCUCUAAAUUUGCAUUGGUCAAGGGAAAUAAAAAUAUAAAUACAUGCAAAUAAAAAGUUAGUGUAACUCCCUAUGAGGUGAUUUGCCCAAACUGUCAUGAAAAGAAAAGAAAAAGAAAAACCAGCACAAAGCACAAAUCAUAAACCUGUUCCAAUGGCCAAAUAAGCUAUGAACAGAGCUAGUAGCCACUUGAACAAGUGACUAACUGAGUAACCGGGGGUGGGUAUCACCAAUAUGCACCUUCGCGUAAAAAGGUUAGUGAUUUUUUCAGGCAAGAAUAAAAAAGUGCUGCUGAAUAAAAUAAAAAGCUCAAGGGAAGGCAAGUCACUCUUAGAGGUUGCACUGAGCUUACACAAAUAGAGUAAGCAUGAUUGAAUCAAAAACCUUUCUCUUGGCCAUGGUAGGUAAGGGAAACAAGGUAAAGAGAGAACAACCUUAGUGCAUGUAAUCUACACUGUGUUGCUUCAAUUUAGGAGUCUAGGGGGGCUGAUUAAGUUGUAUUUAGGCUCAAAAGAAAAGGGAGGCUUGAUUGGCUAAGUUAUUUGUUGCUUGAGGACAAGCAAAAGGCUAGGAGUGGGGGUAUUUGAUCAAGCAUAAUUUAGCCACAUUUUUAUUAUAUUUAUUACUGUUUAUUUACACAUUAUUUAGCUUAAUUUAUGGUUUUUACCUUGUUUUUACAGAAAAAAGAAGAAAUUGGAAAAAUGGAGAAAAAGUGCAGAAAAUGACAGAAAAGUGAUUGGGUCAGUGAUUUGCCCAAAUCACUGCCCAGAUCAAGCUGAAGCAGAAACCUGGAGGCAACAGGCAGAAGUGAUAUGGGCAAGUGAUCUGGCCAAAUCACUCGUAGAAACUGGCCAAAUCACUCGCAGAGACAGAGACAGAAACUGGACUGAAUCCCAGAGAGCGAUUGGGGCAGAUUGGGCAAGUGAUCUGCCCAAAUCACUCGCAGAAACUGCCCAAAUCACCUUAACAGCAGAAAUUGACAGCAGAGGCGGGAAAACAGCAGGGAACCGAAUUUUGAAUUUUUAGAAGUCCAAAUCCAACUCAAUCACUACCAACACAAUUUCAAGAGCCACGAAAGAGUUUCUCGCCUAAGGAAUUCCAAUUGCAAUUAAAUUCAACAUCAAAAGAGGAAUCAAACACCAAAUCAAAAAGGGAUUUCAAAAGCCUAGAUGGAUGGAAUUCUUCAGCUAUAAAAGAGCAACCUCCAAACCAGCAAGGGGCAUCUUCUGAUCAGCUACUCAGCAUCUUCUCCCCUCGCCAGAAACUCUGCAG